This is a long non-coding RNA of Lolium rigidum, 1084 nucleotides long. RefSeq lists it as uncharacterized. The transcript has 3 exons. The record is from RefSeq and is a predicted model, not a curated record. Lineage: Eukaryota; Viridiplantae; Streptophyta; Magnoliopsida; Poales; Poaceae.
GAGAUGAUGCAGAAGGAGGAGGGUGUGAAAGGGGGCCGUGCUCUUCUUGGUUGGGAGGAGAGGAUGCGGGAGGAGGAUGACGAGAAGGGGUGAGGGCGCUCCAUCCGGCGCCCAGCAACGCCGGCGGCCAACACCUCCAGCGACGCCGGCAACAACCACGCCAGCCAGGGUUGGUUGUCCGUCUUCGCCACUGACAUCCUGCAUCGAAGGUUCUCAUGGAAUGGAUAAUCAGGACAUGAUGCGCAUCGUAUACACGCUGCAUGUACGGUGCUCACACGAAAUCGGCUUACCUGUUGCGGUCAGCGGUGCUACUAUACUUAAAAGCUUGUUUCUUUUGGGUUAGAUACCAACACCGCUUCGCUGCAUGUUAAGCAGCUAGAUAGCUCAAUGUUUAUCAGCGCAGAAGGAAUGUGCAUGUUCAUUCUAAACAUACAGAGAUGCAACAUCAAAGGAUGAGUUGAUGUUGGUUAAAGGGAUGAUUGCGCUGCCUCCUUGCUCAGGUAUAUAUAUUUUGCUCUAUUUUACCUGUAUGCAUGUGCUGAUUUUGUUGGCAUCAUCCUUGGUAACUCUGCCUUUUUUUUUUCUGCAGACAUGUGUUCAUUUCUCUGGACAUUGGUUGAACAUUGCCCAUGUAGCACUCACCUGGGUGUGUAUUGUGCUAAUGUCUACCAUGGUAUAACUCAUCUUCAUGAUACUGACGUGAAUAUGAUAUUGAGGAUGUACUGAGUGGUAUUCCAGGCAAAGCAUGUGCAAUACUUUUAUUGGUUCAGCGCUGAUUAUUAUUUCCUUACCUUUCAAAGCCAUAUUUGUAGAGGCUGAGGCUGAAUCACACAAUGUUCCGGAGCUGCACCGGCCGCCCCGUACCUUCGCUCCCACCUUCGCUGGCUCCAGACGCCAGUCCUCCGCCGUUGAUAUUUUUUGGUGGUAAUAUGGAUGCACUUGCCGUUGCUGGUAUUGCCUAAUAAUACGACUACCCAUGCACAUGUCAGCUUCAUCUGAUAUUAUGUCUUUCAUUUAUAUAUCUUUUAUUUGACCCUCCAUCUUUCAACAACUUUCUUAUGGAAUACUAAACCAAACUCAGUUU